This 2326-nucleotide ribosomal RNA is filed under the name Salmonella enterica subsp. enterica serovar Typhimurium. RNAcentral describes it as "partial 23S ribosomal RNA". It matches the Rfam family "Bacterial large subunit ribosomal RNA", at positions 711 to 2925 of the family's 2925-position model. Lineage: Bacteria; Pseudomonadati; Pseudomonadota; Gammaproteobacteria; Enterobacterales; Enterobacteriaceae. The record is from RNAcentral.
AGACCCGAAACCCGGUGAUCUAGCCAUGGGCAGGUUGAAGGUUGGGUAACACUAACUGGAGGACCGAACCGACUAAUGUUGAAAAAUUAGCGGAUGACCUGUGGCUGGGGGUGAAAGGCCAAUCAAACCGGGAGAUAGCUGGUUCUCCCCGAAAGCUAUUUAGGUAGCGCCUCGUGAAUUCAUCUCCGGGGGUAGAGCACUGUUUCGGCUAGGGGGCCAUCCCGGCUUACCAACCCGAUGCAAACUGCGAAUACCGGAGAAUGUUAUCACGGGAGACACACGGCGGGUGCUAACGUCCGUCGUGAAGAGGGAAACAACCCAGACCGCCAGCUAAGGUCCCAAAGUCAUGGUUAAGUGGGAAACGAUGUGGGAAGGCCCAGACAGCCAGGAUGUUGGCUUAGAAGCAGCCAUCAUUUAAAGAAAGCGUAAUAGCUCACUGGUCGAGUCGGCCUGCGCGGAAGAUGUAACGGGGCUAAACCAUGCACCGAAGCUGCGGCAGCGAACGUAUCACCCAAGACAACUUUACGGAGUUGACGAUUGACGGAGCGAAGCGACGUCAAAGCGUUCAUUAAAGUCGAGUUGGCUUAGGGAUACGUUCGUUGGGUAGGGGAGCGUUCUGUAAGCCUGUGAAGGUGUGUCGUGAGGCAUGCUGGAGGUAUCAGAAGUGCGAAUGCUGACAUAAGUAACGAUAAAGCGGGUGAAAAGCCCGCUCGCCGGAAGACCAAGGGUUCCUGUCCAACGUUAAUCGGGGCAGGGUGAGUCGACCCCUAAGGCGAGGCCGAAAGGCGUAGUCGAUGGGAAACGGGUUAAUAUUCCCGUACUUGGUGUUACUGCGAAGGGGGGACGGAGAAGGCUAUGUUGGCCGGGCGACGGUUGUCCCGGUUUAAGCGUGUAGGUGUGUGUUCCAGGUAAAUCCGGUUCACUUUAACACUGAGGCGUGACGACGAGGCACUACGGUGCUGAAGCAACAAAUGCCCUGCUUCCAGGAAAAGCCUCUAAGCAUCAGGUAACAUCAAAUCGUACCCCAAACCGACACAGGUGGUCAGGUAGAGAAUACCAAGGCGCUUGAGAGAACUCGGGUGAAGGAACUAGGCAAAAUGGUGCCGUAACUUCGGGAGAAGGCACGCUGACACGUAGGUGAAGUGAUUUACUCAUGGAGCUGAAGUCAGUCGAAGAUACCAGCUGGCUGCAACUGUUUAUUAAAAACACAGCACUGUGCAAACACGAAAGUGGACGUAUACGGUGUGACGCCUGCCCGGUGCCGGAAGGUUAAUUGAUGGGGUCAGCGUAAGCGAAGCUCCUGAUCGAAGCCCCGGUAAACGGCGGCCGUAACUAUAACGGUCCUAAGGUAGCGAAAUUCCUUGUCGGGUAAGUUCCGACCUGCACGAAUGGCGUAAUGAUGGCCAGGCUGUCUCCACCCGAGACUCAGUGAAAUUGAACUCGCUGUGAAGAUGCAGUGUACCCGCGGCAAGACGGAAAGACCCCGUGAACCUUUACUAUAGCUUGACACUGAACAUUGAGCCUUGAUGUGUAGGAUAGGUGGGAGGCUUUGAAGUGUGGACGCCAGUCUGCAUGGAGCCGACCUUGAAAUACCACCCUUUAAUGUUUGAUGUUCUAACGUGGACCCGUAAUCCGGGUUGCGGACAGUGUCUGGUGGGUAGUUUGACUGGGGCGGUCUCCUCCUAAAGAGUAACGGAGGAGCACGAAGGUUGGCUAAUCCUGGUCGGACAUCAGGAGGUUAGUGCAAUGGCAUAAGCCAGCUUGACUGCGAGCGUGACGGCGCGAGCAGGUGCGAAAGCAGGUCAUAGUGAUCCGGUGGUUCUGAAUGGAAGGGCCAUCGCUCAACGGAUAAAAGGUACUCCGGGGAUAACAGGCUGAUACCGCCCAAGAGUUCAUAUCGACGGCGGUGUUUGGCACCUCGAUGUCGGCUCAUCACAUCCUGGGGCUGAAGUAGGUCCCAAGGGUAUGGCUGUUCGCCAUUUAAAGUGGUACGCGAGCUGGGUUUAGAACGUCGUGAGACAGUUCGGUCCCUAUCUGCCGUGGGCGCUGGAGAACUGAGGGGGGCUGCUCCUAGUACGAGAGGACCGGAGUGGACGCAUCACUGGUGUUCGGGUUGUCAUGCCAAUGGCACUGCCCGGUAGCUAAAUGCGGAAGAGAUAAGUGCUGAAAGCAUCUAAGCACGAAACUUGCCCCGAGAUGAGUUCUCCCUGAGACUUAGAGUCUCCUGAAGGAACGUUGAAGACGACGACGUUGAUAGGCCGGGUGUGUAAGCGCAGCGAUGCGUUGAGCUAACCGGUACUAAUGAACCGUGAGGCUUAACCUUACA